GACGAACGCUGGCGGCGUGCUUAACACAUGCAAGUCGAACGGAAAGGCCCUGCUUUUGUUGUGUGCUCGAGUGGCGAACGGGUGAGUAACACGUGAGUAACCUGCCCUUGACUUUGGGAUAACUUCAGGAAACUGGGGCUAAUACCUGAUAUGAGCGCCUGCUGCAUGGUGGGGGUUGGAAAGUUUCGGCGGUUGGUGAUGGACUCGCGGCUUAGCAGCUUGUUGGUGGGGUAGUGGCUUACCAAGGCUUUGACGGGUAGCCGGCCUGGGAGGGUGAACGGACACACUGGGAAUGAGAUAAGGCGCAGAAUCAUACGGGAGGCAGGAGCGGGGAAUAGUGCACAAUGGGCGGAAGGCUGAUGCAGCAACGCCGCGUGCGGGAUGAUGGCCUUCGGGUUGUAAACCGCUUUCGACUGUGACGAAGCGUUAGUGACGGUAAUGGGUAAAGAAGCACCGGCUAACUACGUG
This 468-nucleotide ribosomal RNA is filed under the name uncultured bacterium. RNAcentral describes it as "partial 16S ribosomal RNA". It matches the Rfam family "Bacterial small subunit ribosomal RNA", at positions 28 to 507 of the family's 1533-position model. The record is from RNAcentral.